ACGAACGCUGGCGGCGUGCCUAAUACAUGCAAGUCGAACGGUCUUUCUAUGGAAGCUUGCUUCCACUGAGAAGAUAGUGGCGAACGGGUGAGUAACACGUGGGUAACCUGCCCAUAAGAGGGGGAUAACAUCCGGAAACGGGUGCUAAUACCGCAUAGUUUUCUUGAUCGCAUGAUUGAGAAAGGAAAGACGGCCUUUGUGCUGUCGCUUAUGGAUGGACCCGCGGCGUAUUAGUUAGUUGGUGAGGUAAUGGCUCACCAAGACGAUGAUACGUAGCCGACCUGAGAGGGUGAUCGGCCACAUUGGGACUGAGACACGGCCCAAACUCCUACGGGAGGCAGCAGUAGGGAAUCUUCCGCAAUGGACGAAAGUCUGACGGAGCAACGCCGCGUGAGUGAAGAAGGUUUUCGGGAAUCGUAAAACUCUGUUGUCAGAGAAGAACAAGUUGGAGAGUAACUGCUCCAGCCUUGACGGUAUCUGACCAGAAAGCCACGGCUAACUACGUGCCAGCAGCAGC
Molecule: ribosomal RNA, 517 nt
Filed under: uncultured bacterium
Lineage: Bacteria
Description: bacterial SSU rRNA
Rfam family: Bacterial small subunit ribosomal RNA
Source: RNAcentral